RNAcentral lists this unclassified non-coding RNA (402 nucleotides) under fungal sp. Its description in RNAcentral is "partial internal transcribed spacer region". The stretch from base 1 to 46 matches the Rfam family "Eukaryotic small subunit ribosomal RNA", at positions 1786 to 1831 of the family's 1831-position model. Lineage: Eukaryota; Fungi. The record is from RNAcentral.
AAGUCGUAACAAGGUUUCCGUAGGUGAACCUGCGGAAGGAUCAUUAACACGUAUCCAACGUUAAACCCCCCGUGCACACAGAGACCAGCUCCCCUCAAUUUCGGUCUUUUGGCAAUCUCUGGUAAAUCAUCGCCGAACAGUUUUGAUUCAGGGACUUCUGCGAAGAGGGUGAUGUAGCGCGAGGCAAUGGACCGGGCAUUCCUCUGCUUGUUGGUGUCUGAAAUUGUCACUAACUCUGUACGAAUGGCGCAUAGUCACGUUCGCUAGAGGCCGAUACGGCCGGCGACCGGGUCCCUGAGCUCACUCAGAGCUCCCUAAUAACCUUUGCAUGAAAACGGGCCUGCGCUUAAUUGUGCGGCCACCAAACUCGAACAACUGUUAACAAUGGAUAUCUUGGUUCUC